UGGGGAAUAUUGCACAAUGGAGGGAACUCUGAUGCAGCGACGCCGCGUGAACGAAGAAGGCUUUCGAGUCGUAAAGUUCUUUUAUAUGGGAAGAUAAUGACGGUACCAUAAGAAAAAGCCCCGGCUAACUACAUGCCAGCAGCCGCGGUAAUACGUAGGGGGCUAGCGUUGUCCGGAAUCACUGGGCGUAAAGGGUUCGCAGGCGGAAAUGCAAGUCAGGUGUAAAAGGCAGUAGCUUAACUACUGUAAGCAUUUGAAACUGCAUAUCUUGAGAAGAGUAGAGGUAAGUGGAAUUUUUAGUGUAGCGGUGAAAUGCGUAGAUAUUAAAAAGAAUACCGGUGGCGAAGGCGACUUACUGGGCUCAUUCUGACGCUGAGGAACGAAAGCGUGGGUAGCAAACAGG
This 403-nucleotide ribosomal RNA is filed under the name bacterium. RNAcentral describes it as "partial 16S ribosomal RNA". It matches the Rfam family "Bacterial small subunit ribosomal RNA", at positions 355 to 776 of the family's 1533-position model. The record is from RNAcentral. RNAcentral also lists the same sequence under 1 other name.